UAUAUUUAUACUUAUUCCGGAUUACUAUUUUCAAGUACGUUUAGUUUCGUGUUGAUUGCCACUAUCAUUAAACACUAAUUACUAAUCGGAGGACGCGAGUUGGUUGUUUCGUUACGAAAUUUAAAUGACACUUUUUUGUAAAUCUUCUAAAAAUAGUUACAAAACCUAGAAAUAUUAAUAUGUAAUGAUAACGUAAACGUACUGUUUAUCCUUAGAUAAAGAGAGCACACGUUUCCGUUUGCUCGUGAUUCCUCCUCGAUCCGUCCGUAUUUGUUGUGUGUUGUUUAUACGACGACGAAUUCCAUUCAUCUAAAAAUACAAUUAUUUACUCGUUCACCCACUAAUCUCCAAACGAACACAUAUUAAUUUAGUUAAAUCAUUCCGUAAGUUUACACGAUUAUUCAACACGAAUUUGUUUUGUAUUUAAAAACGGUUGAUUAUUAAAUAGGAUAUAAUGUAAACACACACAUUGAAAAUGUUCAGUCCACAUGUUUCAGUUCAUGUGACCCAAUUUGAGUGCUUCAGAAGGAAAAAAAUUGUGAAUCUUGAUGUAUCUUCAUUGCAUUGUUACAACUUGUACUUUUAUAGUCGAUUACAAAUGCACGCUUGCUGAGGAAGAGGUAUAGCAAGAGGCGGCGGCUGCGAAAAUAUUACUUGGCAGAGCGAGUUAUAUGGGUCGAUUGAAGAUUGAAGAAGCUCGCUGUAACGUAACCUCGAGUCGAAAUCGACGAAUUUCUUAUGCAACCUCGAGGCGGAGCGCAGAGCAACAACCUCGGCCAAGGAUUUUCGGGCCGGGCCGGGCCGGAGAAAGUGGAAACGAAUAUUAUAUACUUUUCAUUUCGGGAUGACGAUGAUGAUGAAAAGAAACGCGUGAUAAUUCCAGCAUCUCCAAGGACUUCCUCUGCCUGACGACGACGAAGGAUUGUUUGCGGAUCGUCCUUCGCGAGCGAACGAAACGAUAAUUGUGAGCAUUCGGCGCGGACUCUGUUCUCGACGAUUUACGGUCCUCACCCUUAUUAGGAAUGGUAAUUGUGGAAUGCGCGCAGAAGAAAGGAGAUGAUUUAUUCCCAGACGAAAGUAGAUGGAAACAUAUUGGAUCGGUGGUCGUGUCUUUAAUAGGUUGAGCUUCGGUUUUGUUUCUGCCCGGUUUGCUGAAAAGGAUCGAUGCAGAUUCGGAGCGCAAAGUCAACAGAAGUCGUAACAAGUCUGUAAACAAGGAUCCAAUUGGAAUUCGAUUAUAGUUAUAAUGUUCGUCUUCGAAAUCGGGGUUGAGUCACCAUGGUGUUGUUUCGUUACCGGGUGACACACACACCAGAGUACACAACAUGGGGGAUACUCAAGGUUUGGAUCACCAAGGCAACGGCAAGUGACGUUCUUCGGGGGCGAAACGGUUUCAUCAGCUGAAUUAUUUAAG
This is a long non-coding RNA of Nicrophorus vespilloides, 1414 nucleotides long. RefSeq lists it as uncharacterized. The transcript is spliced from 7 exons. Lineage: Eukaryota; Metazoa; Arthropoda; Insecta; Coleoptera; Silphidae. The record is from RefSeq and is a predicted model, not a curated record.